RNAcentral lists this unclassified non-coding RNA (155 nucleotides) under uncultured Herpotrichiellaceae. Its description in RNAcentral is "sequence contains ITS2". The record is from RNAcentral. Lineage: Eukaryota; Fungi; Ascomycota; Eurotiomycetes; Chaetothyriales; Herpotrichiellaceae.
UCACCGUAUCAAGCUUGGCUUGUGGUUGGGCCCUGUCACCGGGUGACAGGUCCAAAAGACAAUGACCGGUGUCAUAUCGACUCUAUAUGCAACGAGCUGAUCACAGCACGCAUCUGGCAGUCGUGUGGCCCGGUCUGCACCCCCUUUUUUCUCAA